GACGAACGCUGGCGGCGUGCUUAACACAUGCAAGUCGUACGGUAAGGCCCUUUCGGGGGUACACGAGUGGCGAACGGGUGAGUAACACGUGAGUAACCUGCCCACAACUUUGGGAUAACGCUAGGAAACUGGUGCUAAUACUGGAUAUGUGCUCCUGCUGCAUGGUGGGGGUUGGAAAGCUCCGGCGGUUGUGGAUGGACUCGCGGCCUAUCAGCUUGUUGGUGGGGUAGUGGCCUACCAAGGCGGCGACGGGUAGCCGGCCUGAGAGGGUGACCGGCCACAUUGGGACUGAGAUACGGCCCAGACUCCUACGGGAGGCAGCAGUGGGGAAUAUUGCACAAUGGGCGCAAGCCUGAUGCAGCAACGCCGCGUGCGGGAUGACGGCCUUCGGGUUGUAAACCGCUUUCAGCAGGGACGAAGCUUUUUGUGGCGGUACCUGCAGAAGAAGCACCGGCUAACUACGUG
Molecule: ribosomal RNA, 465 nt
Filed under: uncultured bacterium
Lineage: Bacteria
Description: partial 16S ribosomal RNA
Rfam family: Bacterial small subunit ribosomal RNA
Source: RNAcentral